This 108-nucleotide small nucleolar RNA is filed under the name Chlamydomonas reinhardtii. RNAcentral's name for it is "CrCD05b snoRNA". The record is from RNAcentral. Lineage: Eukaryota; Viridiplantae; Chlorophyta; Chlorophyceae; Chlamydomonadales; Chlamydomonadaceae.
GGAGUGGCGGUGAUGAUCCCACAUUGCGCAAGGGCUCUGACCCCCUCGCAAAAGCGUGUCGCGAGGGGGGCUCGCUGAAGCACACAACGCACCGAACUGAGCCACUCU